AUUUUCGAAUUUUCAGAGUUAAAGUAACGAAUCAUGAAACAUAAUCGAAGAAAAGCAAGCGCAACACCAGCGCCUUUCCAAACAUAUCACUGCGUCGCCAUUCGAAAACUCUAGAAUGCUCGACAGAAUGUUGCUCCCAAUGCAACAAUGUACCGGGAGAAUAUAUGAAAUAAUCGGUUUACCUCGCGUGCUAGAAAUUGUUUUCGCACGUGGUCUCUUAUUUGAUAUUUAAUUCCUUGCGUGACCGAUUAAGAGAACGACGAGAAGUGAGAAACAAGUGAUAAUCUUUUAAUCGAGAAAGUAAAAUGAACAAACUCGUAAAAUUACGAACUUUCAUCUUAAUAAUAAAAAUUGUGGACGCAUCCCUGGUUAAGCUAGGUUAGGUUAUGCAACGAAGAUUCUUAUUAGUAGUGUCGAGGCACUGGGAUACUUUCCUUUCCUUUACGACUCCUUGUAAAGAGGUAAGUGUUCGCGGUAAAUUGUUAGAAUCUAAGCAAUAAGAAUCAAAGGCGAGUGUGUAUCUGUAAAAUCUCUAAUUGUUUGUGUUCCACAAACAACACGUGCAGUUUAUUAUGAACUUUUCAUUUCUUUCAUUCUUUCCUAAUGCUCGACGAUUAUUUCUUUCUUUACCAGUAGAAAAAUUAAUGACCAAUUGCAUUUCUUCGUAGCUUACGUUCUUCUUUACCUACAUCUAUUCAAAUAUAUUUUAUUAUUCCAUAAAUAUUCACAAAUGUCACUGUUUGGAUCACAGAUACUAUUCAUCGAUUCCAAAGAUCGUAUGCAAACUCGUGUAUCUUAGAAACAUUGCAGAAUUAGUUAUGCAUAACUCUUUAAGAAUGUGUAACGUCCAUAUCUAAUAGAAUGAAACGUAUGCAACAUCACAUAACGUUGCCUCGCGCGCGAGAUAUUCUAAGAGAAAGGUCUUUCCAUACGCUUUUCCACGAGAAAAUUCUUUAAGUCGAUCCACGGAUCGUGAGCUUAAUGCGUGUACUUUCUCAAUAAAUAAAUACCUUAUCAUUCUUAUUGAAAUCAACUUUCCACCGGUUAGAAAAUCGUAAUAUUUCAGAAAAUCGUGUCUCGACCCAUUCAAUUCAAAAGUAAAUCGACGAGAUUACGUGCAAUUUCGAUCGAAUUUUUCUUUUCACUUUUUUUACGUGUUUUCCAACAAGGACAGGUUGACAGUGGUUCUCAACCUUUCUCAGAAUGAACAAUUCUUUUUUCGUAACCGAUCUAUGUGUUAAUUUAACUAUUUAAUCUUUGUGUUUGUGUUACGUGAUAAUACGAAGAAAUUACAAGAGUUGGCUGAGAAAUGCGACAGGUUUGGUUGCGUAGAAAAUUUUAUCGCAUACCAGACUAGUGCUACGACAAAAUGUGUAAAUGUCACGUUUCACCGUUUCAUUUCUUCCUGAUCGCGGAAUAUCGACAUACAGCCUUCCUGGAUCCAGUAGUGAGAUAUAUACACGAUAGAUCCCUCUCCUUCCACGUGAAGUGCAACGUUCCAAAAAGUCAGCUCGCUCACCUCCUUUUACUUCUUUUCCAUGCGCAUAAUUUGUUCCUUUUUCUUCGACUUCGAGGUUACGUCGAAGAACGUUUCUCCAUCUCGUUUUCCCACUAAUCAACCAUUUUAAUAGCAGUUUUUCUACGUUAUUGUGGCAGAACUUCCGGGUCCAGCCACGUUAAAGAGUGUAUUCAUGCGCGACGGUAUAUUUCCGGGAGAAAUACAACGGUAUAUAGUUUAUUAGCCUAGAAUUUUUAUCAGGCCGGAAGGAAAACAGUGGCGGAAAUCGAUCGAAGUAAUUCGAAAAUGUUUAGAAAAUAAUUUCUAUUAUGCAAAAUUAUGUAAUAGAAAGUAAGAUUUAUUACGUAAAGAGAUCGAUGAGAGAAGGUUAACUCUUUUGAGACGUAUUAUUGUCUUACUAGAU
RNAcentral lists this long non-coding RNA (1922 nucleotides) under Apis dorsata (giant honeybee). Its description in RNAcentral is "uncharacterized LOC116184860, transcript variant X1". Lineage: Eukaryota; Metazoa; Arthropoda; Insecta; Hymenoptera; Apidae. The record is from RNAcentral.